CACACACAGCGAGGAGGUGCGGUCCGCUUGGUCAUGCUCCUGGGGGAGGGGACAUGUAAGCAGUAUGGUGUGGUGAAGACUGGGGCCCAGAGGGGUUAAACAAUGUGCCCUAAGUUGCUCAGCUGCUGAGUGGUAAAUACUGGAGAGUCGUCUGGCUGGGCCACUGGGCAGGGCAGUUGCUACAUAGCACAAAGCAGAGGCGUAGUCACCUGGGCUCCAAGCCUUCAAGAGAAGAGGCAUAUCUUCUUAAGAAAG
Manis pentadactyla (Chinese pangolin) is the source of this 255-nucleotide long non-coding RNA. RefSeq lists it as uncharacterized. The record is from RefSeq and is a predicted model, not a curated record. Lineage: Eukaryota; Metazoa; Chordata; Mammalia; Pholidota; Manidae. The transcript has 3 exons.